Molecule: ribosomal RNA, 1511 nt
Filed under: metagenome
Description: bacterial SSU rRNA
Rfam family: Bacterial small subunit ribosomal RNA
Source: RNAcentral
AGAGUUUGAUCCUGGCUCAGAGCGAACGCUGGCGGCGUGCUUAAGACAUGCAAGUCGAGCGAGAAAAGGGAAACCUGAGUAAAGCGGCGCACGGGUGAGUAAUACAUAGAUAAUCUACCUUCGAGUGGGGAACAACUUUUCGAAAGAAGAGCUAAUACCGCAUAAUAAUCAUUGUCGCAUGAUGAUGAUUUAAAGAUGGCCUAUGCUUGCAAGCUGUUGCUUGAAGAUGAGUCUAUGUCCUAUCAGUUAGUUGGCAGGGUAAUGGCCUACCAAGACUAUGACGGGUAGCUGGUCUGAGAGGAUGACCAGCCACACUGGAACUGAGACACGGUCCAGACUCCUACGGGAGGCAGCAGUCGGGAAUAUUGCGCAAUGGGGGAAACCCUGACGCAGCGACGCCGCGUGGGUGAUGAAGGCCUUCGGGUUGUAAAGCCCUGUCAGGAGGGAAGAACACUUCAAGCAUCAGAUCCUUGAAGAUGACUGUACCUCCAAAGGAAGCACCGGCUAACUCUGUGCCAGCAGCCGCGGUAAGACAGAGGGUGCUAGCGUUGCUCGGAAUUACUGGGCGUAAAGCGUGUGUAGGUGGUAGGGUAUGUCAAAUGUGAAAUACCUCAGCUCAACUGAGGAACUGCAUUUGAAACUACCUUGCUAGGGUGCGAGAGAGGGAAGCGGAAUUCCCGGUGUAGAAGUGAAAUUCGUAGAUAUCGGGAGGAACACCUGAGGCGAAGGCGGCUUCCUGGCUCGCAACCGACACUCAAACACGAAAGCGUGGGUAGCAAACAGGAUUAGAUACCCUGGUAGUCCACGCCGUAAACGAUGGGUGCUAGGUGUUGGAAGUGUUGAUUCUUUCAGCGCCUUAGUUAACGCGAUAAGCACCCCGCCUGGGGAGUACGGUCGCAAGAUUAAAACUCAAAGGAAUUGACGGGGGCCCGCACAAGCGGUGGAGCAUGUGGUUCAAUUCGACGCAACGCGAAGAACCUUACCUGGACUUGACAUCCUACGAACUUUGUGGAAACACAGAGGUGCCCGUAAGGGAGCGUAGAGACAGGUGCUGCAUGGCUGUCGUCAGCUCGUGUCGUGAGAUGUUGGGUUAAGUCCCGCAACGAGCGCAACCCUUGCCCUUUGUUGCCACCAGGUUAUGCUGAGCACUCUAAGGGGACUGCCGGUGUUAAACCGGAGGAAGGUGGGGAUGACGUCAAGUCAUCAUGGCCUUUAUGUCCAGGGCUACACACGUGCUACAAUGGUAUAUACAAAGAGAUGCAAACCCGUGAGGGGGAGCCAAACUCAAAAAGUGUGCCUUAGUUCGGAUUGGAGUCUGCAAUUCGACUCCAUGAAGCUGGAAUCGCUAGUAAUCGCGGAUCAGAACGCCGCGGUGAAUACGUUCCCGGGCCUUGUACACACCGCCCGUCACACCACGAAAGUCUGUUGGACCAGAAGUCAGUAAGUUAACUCGUAAGAGAGACAGCUGCCGAAGGUCUGGCCGAUGAUUGGGGUGAAGUCGUAACAAGGUA